AUUGCCGCUUGUGAAGUUCGGCCACAUUCAACUGUCUGCAAAUUUAAACAAAAAAAGGAAAUUAGCAAGCAAACUUCACAUGAAUAAAUCAAUUCGGUUAAUUAUUUAGCAAACGCAACGCGUAAGUUUUGCAUGUCUCAAAGCGACAAAACGUUUCGUGAACGAUCAAAUACAUACAAACCGCUGCAGCUACAGUUUUAACAGUUGUUGUUGCUGCCGAUUUGCGAAGCGACAAAGUGCUCGUGUGUGCGUUUUUGAGCGUGAGUGUCAGUGUGUGUGCGACAGUAUGUGCGUAUAUUUGUGUGUGUGAAGAUAAUUUAGUUAGAGGUCAUUUCUAUGCGUAAGUCUUUGCAACAUGCGGCGGCACCCAGUUGUUGAAAGCGGGACCAUCGUCUUCACACAUCACACGAGCCACAACAACAAAGGACGUUUGCAGCUGUACGCCUACGUCCACGCCCACUUCGAAGCGUGCAGCAGCAGCAACGCCAGCUUUGUUUUAUAGUACGCGCAGCCAUGCCAACAACAACAACAACAGCAGUAAAAUCCACUGAAGAAGAAGAAGAGGAAAAUUGCGAUACGCCAAUGGCGUCUGCUACUACAACAAGAACAAGAACAUCGGAGGAGCAGCCACAACCACCAUCGUUGCCGUCAGCUGCGGCGUCGCCCUCAGAAUCGCUGCAGGCGUCAACUACUGAUGCAAUGUCAAAGGCAGCUGCGCGGCCAACGCCAACACCCUCACUGUUGCCUCUGCUGGCGUCGGCUGCCGCUUGCAAUAAACAGUUACUGUUCUGCCGGCGUUUUAAGGAUGCGUCCGCUGGCAACGUAGACGGUGCUAGCUUUUUACGUAAUUUCAACUCAUUGCCGUUAUUCGUCUACGCAACGUCACCGUCGACGCACGCCAUUUCAGCAGAUGGCGUUGGCGUUGCCAAGGAAGCAGCAGCCGCUGCUGCCGCUGCGUCGGCGUUCAGUCAAAAGAAUGACGGUUUUGAGCUACCCGCAACGCAUGGCACCUGCAAAACAGACGGCAGCUGCAUUAGCCCACACAGAAGCAACAACAACAGCAAUAGCACCAGCAAUAGCAACAGCAGUGGUGGCCACACACGCAUCACAGACUUGGCCAGCGGCGCCAUGGAGUGCCUGCCAUUGAGCGGCGGAGUUGUCACACAUCAUCCGCAUCUGAUGGCGACGAGUGGGACCGGCGGCACGGUGGUUGCCUCGCCAACGGCAACGGUUGUCGUGGGCGCCACAUAUCCACACCAUUUGCACCACCAUCACUUGAGCCACCAUGCGCCGUAUAGCAAUAGCUAUGGUAGUCAUCCGCAUCAUCCCAUACACAGCGAGCAGACCAAGUCGCUGCAGGAGCUGCAGCACGAGGUGGGCGCUCUGUUGGAGUUCAGAGAUCUGGUCAUUGAAACGUUUCCCGAUCUCAAGCAUAAAAUGGCCUCAAUGUCCGCCACGCCGUCGACACCGAACUCUGUGACUGCGCUUGGUGGCAGUCACUCGGUGGGCGGCAACAGUGGAAAUGGUGGCAGCUCCUCGUUAGCAACCAGACGUGAGUGGGAGCCUGGAAUACGCAUAAAGCGCAAGUUGUCGCACAAGGAACCGUCCACGACAACGGCCGCUGCAGCAGCAUCCGCUGGAGUUGAGCCGUCGUCAUCGUCGCUAACGCGCAGCCGCAGCAACUCGCACAGCGGCAAGAAAGAGCCAAAGAGCGGAGAGAACAACAACGGCAGCGUUGUGCAGGACUCCGGCUUCUCAACGGAGACCAGUUCCUCCAAGGAGGGACACAGUGCCUCCUCCACCAACGGUGCAAUGACGGUGGCCAUAGCAUCGAAUCGUCUGAGUUGCGCCGAGUCGGAUGACGAGCUGCUCAACCUGCUUGAUGUCAUACACCGCAAAUCGAAUCGUUUACGCGAGGAGGUCGAGCAUCUGCAGAGCUACGAGCGCCACCAGGGCGAUGCAGCCAAGGGCCAAAAGAAUGCGAAUGGCAUGACGCCGCAGCAAUUCCGGGAGCAGGUGGAGCGACUGAAUCGCGAAGAUAUCAAACAGUUGCGAAAGGAACGCGAUCGUCUGCUGGAUAAGCUGGCCGAAAUGGAGGCGGAGACGUUGACGGGCCGCAUCAAGGCGGCUAAGAUGAACGAUCAGGUGGAAGAGUUGAUUAGCGUUAAGAAAGAUCUCGAGGAGCAGCUGAAACUGGCCAUGGCUCAAAAGCUGGAGCUGAGCUCGCGUGUGCAGCAGCUGCAGUUGCAGCAGCAACAACAACAACAGCAGCAGCAGAGCAAAAGCUCAUCCAGCGCCAGCCAGUCAGAGUUCUCCAGUCAACGCAACUUCUUAUCCUCGGCGACGACGGUGCUCUCGAACAGUAGCCGGCCCAGUCUCAGCAGCAACAACACAUUCCAGCCGGUUGUGCUCGACCAGCAGCAACAGCAGCAGCCAGCGCCGGACGCAUUCCAUCAAAGCUCAGGUAGUGAUACAGCAACAGCGAGAAGGCAACAACAGCCGCUGGGACGUUUGGAUGGCGUUGUCAGCACGCCCGGCGCCCGAAACACCAAAUGCCGCAUUACAGACUCCAAGCGCUUCUCGGCCAUUCUGUUGGAAACGAAUGUGCUGGAGCUGCAGCGACAUUUGCUCACGCUGACUGUGCAAAAUCAGGUGCUGGCCCAGAAGCUGGAAUCGUCCAGCAAGUCAAAGUCGCUGCUGUCGAAGCGGCUGGACAAGAGUGUCGAGGAUACGGAGGAGCUGCGCUUUCAGCUGGAGGAAAAGAACAUCGAGCUGGAGGGCACCAAGGCGCAGCUGCGCGUGCUGGAAUCCCGGCUGCAUAGCAGCAGCAGCGCCAAUUCGUAUUUGAACUCGUCUCAGCAUGAUUACGAGACAAAUCGCUCUUCGGCUUCCACCACACUGAUGCUCAGUCGUCGCGGCGUACCCGAUUCGGUGGACUCAGCAUCGGCAUCGGUGUCGGUGGCCCAGCCCCGAUCCGAUCAAAUAAGCACGCCCAGCAUGAAGGCCAUGGUGCCGCUGGCCAUGGAUGAGCUGCAGCAGCACAGCAGCAGCACUGAAUCCGCGCACGAGCAUGAACCGGAACGCACGCCCAAUGACUCGACGCAGAGCAAGACAAUGGUGAACAGCAGUCCCAGUCCGCUGGUCAGUAGCACGCCCACCGCGACCGCCGGCAGCAGCAUUGCGGCGCGUGUCUUGAGCUCCAGCGUGGGCGGGGUCAGUCCCUUUGAGGCGACGCCGUUGCGCAGCCACGGCUUUCGCAAAUUCAACAGCGCCAGCAAGCCGAGCAAAAUACCGUUGCCGGGCAGCAAGGCGGCCGCCUACUUUGCGGGCAAGCCGCCCACGGGUCGGCCGUCCACGGCAGGUCGAUCACCGCCCUCGGUGCAUAACUCCAGUAAUGUGUCGUAUGGGAGCAGCAGCAAGUCUUCGCUGAGUCGCAGCACCGGCAACCUGAGCCAGAGCUUAAAGCGCGCCGACUCUGUCUCCAAUCAUUCACUGAGCACGAACACGAGCCGCAGCUCAACGUCAUCCUCCAUACCGUUGGCCACCACACCAUACUCAUCCAGCUCGGCCGGUGGCAACCGCAGCAGCGGCCACACGGCCACAACCACUCCGUCCCCGCGCGUGCUCCAGAACUCGCCGUUGCCCAAGCUUAAGCGCGAGACGCUGAGCUCACGUGUGCGGCACCUCGACUCACUUUCGCGCGCCCAACAAUCGCCCGAGCAGCAGCAGCACCACCACAACAACAGCAGCAGCAGUGGCAGUGGCAGCGGCAGCGGCAGUGGCAACGCCUCGCACAAAAGCAGCCAGCUGAGCACCAGCGGCAGUUCCAGCUCCAUUGCAGCACAGCUGAGUACAACGCUGCGCAAGGAUCUGCAACUGAAUGCCAGCUCGGCGCCAGCCUAUCAGCGACGGAGCGGCGGUGGUGCUGGCAGCGGUGGUGCGGCUGUGUCGCGCCGCUUCAGCAGCGCCUCGGUGGCCAGUGCGCGGCUGGCGCGUGAGCAGAGUAGCGAAGCAAACGCCACGCCCACGUCCAGCUAUGGCGACAGUGAUAGUGGCAAGCCUAUUGAAAACUGUAACUAAAAACAAUUGUGAAAGAAACUCUUCCUAACUGCAAUAUGCCUAACCGGAUAAACGUUGGAUAAACAUGUACAAUUAUAUAUGCAUAUGCAUAUGUAUAUAUAUAUAUAUACACAUCUAUAUACAUAUGGACAAUGGUGGUGUAUUGAUUGAUUGAUUGAUUGACGUUGGUGGUGAAAAUUUAAGCUGCAUGCUGCAAAUGAAAAUGCUAACAUAAAAGCAACAUUCCAAAAACACGUGCGUCACUCGGGAGGUUAUUUUGGUAACGGACAGCGAACAGGCGAUGCGAAUGUCAGGAUUCAUGUGCUCAGCUCCAAGUUGCUCCAAAUAGCAAGCUCCAAGCUACAAGCUACAAGCUACAAGCUCCAGUCUCAAAUACGCGCGAAGCGAGCUGAUUGAGCUAGUUGUGUUGUAAAUCGUUUGUCUGCUUUUCUGAUAGACAAAGAACUAAGACACUUUGCCGCAAUUUGUUAUACGCAGUUUGGUAAAUAACGAGAGUAAGCCAAAUUUCCGUUUCAAUAACAACAAUUGGCAGUUGUGGCAAACAAGCAACAACAACAAUAAGAAC
RNAcentral lists this unclassified non-coding RNA (4645 nucleotides) under Drosophila mojavensis. RNAcentral's name for it is "GI22132". Lineage: Eukaryota; Metazoa; Arthropoda; Insecta; Diptera; Drosophilidae. The record is from RNAcentral.